Molecule: non-coding RNA, 31 nt
Filed under: Mus musculus (house mouse)
Lineage: Eukaryota; Metazoa; Chordata; Mammalia; Rodentia; Muridae
Source: RNAcentral
UGACGUACUACAUAUGUGCCCCUGCACGCUU